AUAGAUGACAACUACUUGAAGGAAUUGAAUGAGGACUUAAAGCUAAGGAAGCAGGAACUGCUAGAGAUGCUCAAACCUCUAGAAGAUAAAAACAACCUCUUAUUUCAAAAGUUAAUGUCUAACUUGGAGGAAAAACAAAGGAGUCUUCAGAUCAUGAGACAGAUCAUGGCAGGGAAGGGGUGUGAGGAAUCCUCGGUCAUGGAGCUCCUUAAGGAAGCAGAGGAGAUGAAACAGAACUUGCAUUUCCUUGAGCUCUUCUGAGAAAAACCUGAACGUUGGAUGUACUAUGGGCAUUACAACUAUGGACAGAGUGACUACUGGCAGAAAUGAACACCAUGUGAGAAUUCUGGGAACAAAGAUCUACACAGAACAACAAGGAACUAAAGGAAGUCAGCUUGAUAAUACAGGAGGGAGACUCUUUUUUCUGAGGUCAUUGCCAGAUGAAGCACUGAAGAAUUAGCAGGCUUUCGCUCCAUUUGCUUUGGACAGAUUUAAAGACUAGGCACAGCCAUUUGUGUUAAUUAAAAUCUCUCGCACCUUU
Molecule: long non-coding RNA, 541 nt
Filed under: Homo sapiens (human)
Lineage: Eukaryota; Metazoa; Chordata; Mammalia; Primates; Hominidae
Description: long non-coding RNA NONHSAT037422.2
Source: RNAcentral